Long non-coding RNA from Bos taurus (domestic cattle), 1858 nucleotides. The record is from Ensembl. Lineage: Eukaryota; Metazoa; Chordata; Mammalia; Artiodactyla; Bovidae.
ACCGUCGUGACGCAGUCCCCGGCCCGGAUCCGGAGAAGAUCCGGACACUGCAAGGUCAGCAUUGACCCCAUUUUACGGAUGAGACAACUGAGACUCCGAGAGGGCACUACAUCUCCCCUCCCCCGGGCUGCGUGGUUACUGUCUGCCCCCCACUGCCUCGCUGAUGCCGGCGGCCCUCGGAACGGCUCCGUCCCCGCCCCCACGCUGGGAGGCAGCGGGAGGCGGAGGGCUUCCGGCUCCUUCCUCCAGCCCUGGGUGCACUUCCGACCGCAGCUCCGCUGGAGGCGCUCUCUGCUCAGUUCCUCAGCAGAAAACAAUCCCAGUGCCCUUACUGAAAUAUCGGAGGGAGCCCUUGUAGGCUGGCGGUGAAGUGUAGACACUGGUUCAAAUCCUGGCUUCUCCACUUCCCAGCUGUGUGACCUUAGCAUGUGCAAUUUUUAGUUGCGGCGUGCGGGAUCUAGUUCUCUGACCAGGGAUCGAACCCGGGACGCCUGCAGUGGGAACACGGAGUCUUAGCCACUGGACCACCAGAGAGCUUCUUUAUGGAACAUCAAUACGAACUGGGAACGAGAAGCAUCAUCGUAGCUGCCGUUUCUCAAGCAGGGAGGGUCCUGGGCUCCACAGAAUGACCCUACUGUCUCCUGGGAGCCGCCCUGGGGGCCUCUCUUGUCACCCAUUUGGCAGAGGAGGAAGCCUCACCCGUGGCAGAACCAUUCAGACCCUGGACCGGUCUGUGCCUCUGUGGUAUCUAGGCUCAAGCAGAGGCUGGUCUCCCAAAGAAACGCCACCCAGGGGCUUCCCCGCCCCCACCGUGGGUCACCUGAACCAGCUGCUGACCAAGUCCCCACGCCUGCAGGGCAGCAAGGGAGUGAGGAACAGGGGUGGGCAGUCCUUGAGUAAGUAACUGCAGUCAGCCCCUGCUUCAGGCAGCACACUGCUCCUCUCAGGGCCCUCCAAUUCAUAUGCUCUGAUUCCCACACCAUCUCCUUGAGGUUGGCACUAUGGUGGUGGGCACGGCACAGGUGAGGAAACAGCCCAGGCAGGGGACAAAGCUUGCCCAGACCUGCAGAGCUGGGAUUCACCUUGAGAGUUCCUGACACUUGUUCUCCUGUCCUCUCUCCAUCUGUAUGAAAGAGUGAAGGCCGUAGCUAACAGAAUGUUUGGAUCCCCCAAAAUUGAUGUGCUGAAACCUAACCCCCCAGUGUGAGGGUAUUUAGAGGUGGGGCCUUUGGGAGGUGAUGAGGUCUUCCAGCGUGAAGCCCUCAAGAAUGGGAUACUGCCCUUUAAAAGAGGCCCCCGGGAGAUCCCUCCCUUGUCUCUUCUACCUUGUAUUGUGGUUCAGUGUCCGACUCUCUGUGACCCCAUGGACUGCAGCACACCAGGCUUCCCUGUCCUUCACCAUCUCCCGGAGGGUGCUCAAGCUCAUGUCCGUUGUGUUGAUGAUACCAUCCACCUUGUGAGGUUAUACCAAAAAGAUGGCCGAACCAGGAAGUGGGCUCUUACCAGACACUGAAUCUGGCAGCACCUUGAUCCUGGACUUUUCAACCUCCAGAACUGUGAGAAAAAGGUCUUUUGUUCAAAGCCACCCCACCCCCUCCACCAGCCUGCGAUAUUCUGUUAUAGCAGCAUGAAUUGGACUAAGUGGCUAAGGCAGCCACUUUCCCUAUGUGCUUAUACUGUUGAUCCUUCCAUCUGUCUAUCCACUCAUCCAUCCAUGCAUCCAUGUACCCACCUAACCAUCUAUGCAUCCAUCUAUCCAUCCACAGCUGUGCAGUGAGUAUCCUCUACGUACCAGGUGUGGCCUGGGUACUGGGACGGGGGGCAGGGCCCACCCUAUGUGGCAUGUACAGGCUGGCAA